This 23-nucleotide non-coding RNA is filed under the name Cricetulus griseus (Chinese hamster). The record is from RNAcentral. Lineage: Eukaryota; Metazoa; Chordata; Mammalia; Rodentia; Cricetidae.
ACUCUUGACAGUGGGAUGACGAU